CCUACGGGAGGCAGCAGUGGGGAAUUUUGGACAAUGGGGGCAACCCUGAUCCAGCCAUUCCGCGUGAGUGAAGAAGGCCUUCGGGUUGUAAAGCUCUUUCGCAAGGGAAGAAAACUUAUGAUCGAAUAAAUCAUGAGGUUGACGGUACCUUGAUAAGAAGCACCGGCUAACUACGUGCCAGCAGCCGCGGUAAUACGUAGGGUGCGAGCGUUAAUCGGAAUUACUGGGCGUAAAGCGUGCGCAGGCGGUUUUGUAAGUCGGAUGUGAAAUCCCCGGGCUCAACCUGGGAACUGCGUUCGAAACUGCAAGGCUAGAGUGUGUCAGAGGGGGGUAGAAUUCCACGUGUAGCAGUGAAAUGCGCAGAGAUGUGGAGGAAUACCAAUGGCGAAGGCAGCCCCCUGGGAUAACACUGACGCUCAUGCACGAAAGCGUGGGGAGCAAACAGGAUUAGAUACCCUGGUAGUCCACGCCCUAAACGAUGUCAACUAGUUGUUGGUAGAGUAAAAUCUAUGAGUAACGUAGCUAACGCGUGAAGUUGACCGCCUGGGGAGUACGGUCGCAAGAUUAAAACUCAAAGGAAUUGACGG
Molecule: ribosomal RNA, 587 nt
Filed under: uncultured bacterium
Lineage: Bacteria
Description: bacterial SSU rRNA
Rfam family: Bacterial small subunit ribosomal RNA
Source: RNAcentral